This 29-nucleotide non-coding RNA is filed under the name Homo sapiens (human). The record is from RNAcentral. Lineage: Eukaryota; Metazoa; Chordata; Mammalia; Primates; Hominidae.
AGGAGAGAUGGUCAGGGGUACCCGACAGU